This 465-nucleotide ribosomal RNA is filed under the name uncultured bacterium. RNAcentral's name for it is "partial 16S ribosomal RNA". It matches the Rfam family "Bacterial small subunit ribosomal RNA", at positions 28 to 507 of the family's 1533-position model. The record is from RNAcentral.
GACGAACGCUGGCGGCGUGCUUAACACAUGCAAGUCGUACGGUAAGGCCCUUUCGGGGGUACACGAGUGGCGAACGGGUGAGUAACACGUGAGUAACCUGCCCACAACUUUGGGAUAACGCUAGGAAACUGGUGCUAAUACUGGAUAUGUGCUCCUGCUGCAUGGUGGGGGUUGGAAAGCUCCGGCGGUUGUGGAUGGACUCGCGGCCUAUCAGCUUGUUGGUGGGGUAGUGGCCUACCAAGGCGGCGACGGGUAGCCGGCCUGAGAGGGUGACCGCCCACAUUGGGACUGAGAUACGGCCCAGACUCCUACGGGAGGCAGCAGUGGGGAAUAUUGCACAAUGGGCGCAAGCCUGAUGCAGCAACGCCGCGUGCGGGAUGACGGCCUUCGGGUUGUAAACCGCUUUCAGCAGGGACGAAGCUUUUUGUGACGGUACCUGCAGAAGAAGCACCGGCUAACUACGUG